UACCCUUCCCCCUCCCCGUGUCCUCAAGUCCAUUCUCUAUGAAGGACACUAGUGAUUUAAAAAAAAAACAGUAGCCAUCUGGCACAAAUGUUACCAAAGCAAAGAUGCAUAUAGGGUGGUCCAUACACAGAGGCAGAAGAGGCAAGGGCCUCAAGGGAAUAUAUUUGUUAUCAUAACCCAACAGUUAUGUAGGCACUGUUCUAAAAGUUUUACAUCUAUUAACUCAUUUCAUCCUCAAAAUAAUUUUAAGAAAUAGAUACUAUUAUUAUCCCAUUUAAUAGAUGAAGAAACUGAGACACAGAAAGAUUACAUAAUUUGCCUAAGAUCACUCAGUUAUCAAGAGGCAGAGCUAGAAGUCAGUCCUUUUCUUAACCACUUUUCUAUAUUCCCUUCCCUUUGAUAUCUGAAAUCACCAUUAGAGUCAUUGUGUUUAUUCACUAUAACAAUCAACAAGUUCUGUUCUACGCAUUCGCAAAUACUGCUUAUCUCAUUUAACGUUUACAAUAGCUAUCCUUAUUUUACAGAGAGGAAGCUGAGAAUCAGAGAGAUUAAUUCACUUGUUCAAGGUCAAAUGGCUAGUAAGUGGCAGAGCUUCGAUUUGAAACAAGUUCUGGCUGAAGAGCCCAUACUGCCUUCCCCAAAGUGGUGACAGAAUUAUGGAAAUGUGACACCAAGAGAGCUGUGGUCAAGAGCACACACUCUGGAGCCAGAAUGCCUGAGUUUGAAUCUCUACCACCCACGAGCUGUUGUGACUGUGAUUUAGACCCAUGGUAUUUUCAUCUAGAACAUGAAGAUUAUUGUAGUACCUAUCUCAUAGAGCCGUCAUGAAGAUUACCUGUGUUACUAUAAGAAAACACUUAGAAGAAUGCCUGUCACAUGGAGAGUGCUUCAUUAGAAGGAUAGUACAUGAAACCCACCACGGUUUUCUUUGGUACCUGGAUAGUUAACACUGGACCUUACGUUUCAAGUGGUUCCUGGAAGGAGGCCUGUGGGGAAAAACUUAAAAGACCUCCACAAGCCUUGACCACAGCCAACUCUGGAUUUUAAGGUCACAGAGCACUCUUGGCAAAAGAUGAGAUGAAGGAGGUUCAAAGGGUUGAGAGUCCUUUAUGCUCCAUUCUAUUUCAGUG
This is a long non-coding RNA of Globicephala melas (long-finned pilot whale), 1130 nucleotides long. RefSeq lists it as uncharacterized. The record is from RefSeq and is a predicted model, not a curated record. NCBI's taxonomy places the organism in Eukaryota, Metazoa, Chordata, Mammalia, Artiodactyla, Delphinidae.